CUAUACAUGACUCUGCGCAUAUCAUAAGCGGAGGAAAAGAAACUAACUAGGAUUCCCUUAGUAACGGCGAGUGAAGCGGGAAGAGCUCAAAUUUGAAAUCUUCAAGGUUUACCUUGACGAAUUGUAGUUUAUAGAAGUGUUUUCUGUUAGUAGAGUGGCAAAAGUUCUCUGGAAUAGGACAUCAUAGAGGGUGAGAAUCCCGUAUUUGGUCAUUCUUUCUAGCUUUGUGAUACACUUUCAACGAGUCGGAUUGUUUGGGAAUGCAGUCCAAAAUGGGUGGUAAAUUUCAUCUAAAGCUAAAUAUUGGCGAGAGACCGAUAGCGAACAAGUACCGUGAGGGAAAGAUGAAAAGAACUUUGAAAAGAGAGUUAAACAGUACGUGAAAUUGUCAAAAGGGAAGCGUUUGACACCAGUGUUGUUUUUCGAAAAUCAAUUACGGAAUGUUUUGUUUUUGAGGAGUUAUGACUUCAUCGGCUUGCUUCUCUCUUUACGAAACUUUCUUAAUGCACCUUUCGGUUAACAAGUCAACAUCAAUUUCUUUUGUUGUAAAAGGGUAUGAGGAAGGUGGCUUUCUUUUCGGAGAAAGUGUUUAUAGCCUUGUAGCCUCUGCAAUCGGAGAGAUUGAGGUCUGCAGCGUAGAUCCUUCGGGGUUAGAUACAUUUGUGCUAAGUUAUAGCUUUUCAUAGACAACUUGUUGACUAUGUUUAGUCUUGUAGCUUACUCGCUUAUGCUAUUUUACCUACGCUUAGGAUGUUGACACACGCGCGUGCUCG
RNAcentral lists this ribosomal RNA (773 nucleotides) under uncultured Neocallimastigales. RNAcentral's name for it is "partial large subunit ribosomal RNA". It matches the Rfam family "Eukaryotic large subunit ribosomal RNA", at positions 22 to 643 of the family's 3401-position model. The record is from RNAcentral. Lineage: Eukaryota; Fungi; Neocallimastigomycota; Neocallimastigomycetes; Neocallimastigales.